Molecule: RNA transcript, 829 nt
Organism: Theobroma cacao (cacao)
Lineage: Eukaryota; Viridiplantae; Streptophyta; Magnoliopsida; Malvales; Malvaceae
Gene name: protein NONRESPONDING TO OXYLIPINS 2, mitochondrial-like
Source: RefSeq, a predicted model, not a curated record
UUUGACCAAAUCAGAUACUUGCUCCGUACCGCUAAAACCCUAAAUCCUGUCCUCUGCAUUGUUACAUUUUCCAAGUUUGCAAUUUCUAUUAACAAGUUUUUCAAUUCUCUAUCUCCGUCAAGAAAUUUUCUUUCUAAUGGCUUCAACUUGCAAUAGAUUCAUCAGCAGAUCAUCGUCCUCUAUUAAAUCCGCCUUCAGAUCCAACGGUCCAAGAUCCCUACUUUCCAGAUCCGCCGCUUCUCCCUCCUCCGCACGAUCACCUCUCCCCUCCCAAUCCAUCCCUCCCCUUCGCCGUUUCUCAUUGUCCAGGUGUCCAUCGGAGCUGGGAUGUGCGCAGUCACUGUUGCCGCUGCACAGUGCAGUGGCGGCGUCAAGGAUGACGUCAUGCCUGAGCACAACAUCGAGGAGUUGCCGGGCACUUUCUCAGGGUACACUCUGCUGCACCUAUCCCGGCCUCUAGUACUGUUUUAUCUGUUUUUUUUAUUGCACAUAAAUUCAAUAUGCUUGAAAGAAAUAAAGUGGGAAUUUACAGUGACAGGCCCAUCUUCAUUCUCAAAGUUUGGUCUAGCAGUUCCAAGGUGACUUGUUAGAGAUCAUGAUUAUGAUGAGGAGUUUUCAAAUGGACUGAAGCAGCAAGGACCUGUAGAUUAUUAUUCGAAAAAGGUUGUCAUUUCUUUGAAUACUCUUGAACCCUUAACAGCAGUGAAGCUGAUUUGAUUCUUACAAGCUAUGAGAUUUGUUUUCUCUAAGAGUCUGAAAUAAAAAUGCAGUAGUCUUGUUUGACUCGUUCGUUUAUGCCUAACAAACUAAAGCAUCAGAAUCUUCUACA